Desulfuromonadales bacterium C00003093 is the source of this 390-nucleotide non-coding RNA. The record is from Rfam. NCBI's taxonomy places the organism in Bacteria, Pseudomonadati, Thermodesulfobacteriota, Desulfuromonadia, Desulfuromonadales.
CAAAGAAGGACAGAUGAUCGCCGGUCCGUCGUCACUGGCGGGCGGGAGGAAAGUCCGGGCUCCACAGGACGGGAUGGUCCCUAACGGGGACCGGGGGCAACCCUAGGGAAAGUGCCACAGAGAGGAGACCGCCUGCUGAUGUUCGACACCGGCAGGUAAGGGUGAAAGGGUGAGGUAAGAGCUCACCAGUUCCGACGGUGACGUCGGAAGCUCGGUAAACCCCAUCCGGAGCAAGGCCGAAUAGAGGAACGUUUGAGGGCGGUCCGCCCGAAGUUCCCGGGUCUGGCUGCUUGAGGCCGUUGGCAACAGCGGUCCUAGAGGAAUGAUCAUCGUCCCGCAGCAGGUAACUGCUGCGGGAAACAGAACCCGGCUUACGGACUUCUUUGGCCA